GGGGUUGUAGCUCAGUUAGAAGAGCGCAGGCAUGGCAUGCCUGAGGUCGUGGGUUCGAGCCCCACCUGCUCCACCA
This 76-nucleotide transfer RNA is filed under the name Pseudomonas nitroreducens. RNAcentral describes it as "tRNA-Ala". It matches the Rfam family "tRNA". From Rfam's summary of the family: Transfer RNA (tRNA) molecules are approximately 80 nucleotides in length. Their secondary structure includes four short double-helical elements and three loops (D, anti-codon, and T loops). Lineage: Bacteria; Pseudomonadati; Pseudomonadota; Gammaproteobacteria; Pseudomonadales; Pseudomonadaceae. The record is from RNAcentral.